UCCAUCUGUUUUUUACUAUGAACGUUAGGUUUUGCGAUCUAAUUUUCCAAUUCUAGGUAUGUUAAUAUUCGAAAGAUCUUAGAUUUGGUGAAACCAAACUUGCUACUAACUGCAAUUUGUGAUUUUCUUCUUUGACUUUUGGGUAUUCUACUUUUGGCCGUGCAAAGUUUUUUAGCUUUGGUUAUUUUGGUUUAUUCUCGUUUUGGGAUCGAGCAAUCCGCUACUACUUAAUUGCAAUUGAGCUGAGGCCCAACUUUGCUGAUGCUUGGUCGAACUUGGCAAGUGCAUACAUGCGAAAGGGAAGACUCAGCGAGGCAACACAAUGCUGUCAGCAGGCCCUCUCAUUGAACCCACUUCUAGUUGACGCACAUAGUAAUCUCGGGAAUCUGAUGAAGGCUCAAGGAUUGAUUCAUGAAUGUCUGACUAUUUGGAGUUUCCAUCAUGGAGCGGUUUGUGAUACUCAUAAUCAUUUCCUCAAAAAAAGAAGCUUCCAGCUUUUGGAGUAGUGGGUUCCAAGCUCUGUGAGAAAGUUUGAAUCAUGCCAAGGACCUCAGAUCAGGAGAACAUUAACAUGAAUGAAGAGUCUUGUAUCCAUCAUUAUA
This is a non-coding RNA of Camelina sativa (false flax), 602 nucleotides long. The record is from RefSeq and is a predicted model, not a curated record. NCBI's taxonomy places the organism in Eukaryota, Viridiplantae, Streptophyta, Magnoliopsida, Brassicales, Brassicaceae.